Molecule: long non-coding RNA, 213 nt
Filed under: Panax ginseng (ginseng)
Lineage: Eukaryota; Viridiplantae; Streptophyta; Magnoliopsida; Apiales; Araliaceae
Description: long non-coding RNA (PGIN_LNC006753)
Source: RNAcentral
AAGAGUCAAAUAGACUAUAAAGUCUAUUAUCUUCUCCACAUUAAAAGUCCACCAAUAAUGUUUUAUCCCUGUAACAUCAAUCAACAGUUCCUUUCCACAAUCAUAUGAAUAACUCAUAAUCAUAAUUGUGAUUCUAAAUUCCUAUUCUCAUCCAGGACGAAGAUAAUUUUCAUCACCUGUCUUUACCUGAAACAUCAAAGAUCAUGGUUAUAC